GGAGCAUGUGGUUUAAUUCGAUGCAACGCGAAGAACCUUACGUACUCUUGACAUCCAGAGAACUUGGCAGAGAUGCCUUGGUGCCUUCGGGAACUCUGAGACAGGUGCUGCAUGGCUGUCGUCAGCUCGUGUUGUGAAAUGUUGGGUUAAGUCCCGCAACGAGCGCAACCCUUAUCCUUUGUUGCCAGCGAUUCGGUCGGGAACUCAAAGGAGACUGCCAGUGAUAAACUGGAGGAAGGUGGGGAUGACGUCAAGUCAUCAUGGCCCUUACGAGUAGGGCUACACACGUGCUACAAUGGCGUAUACAAAGAGAAGCGACCUCGCGAGAGCAAGCGGACCUCAUAAAGUACGUCGUAGUCCGGAUUGGAGUCUGCAACUCGACUCCAUGAAGUCGGAAUCGCUAGUAAUCGUAGAUCAGAAUGCUACGGUGAAUACGUUCCCGGGCCUUGUACACACCGCCCGUCACACCAUGGGAGUGGGUUGCAAAAGAAGUAGGUAGCUUAACCUUCGGGAGGGCGCUUACCACUUUGUGAUUCAUGACUGGGGUGAAGUCGUAACAAGGUAACCAAGGGCGAAUUCUG
RNAcentral lists this ribosomal RNA (581 nucleotides) under uncultured Serratia sp. RNAcentral's name for it is "bacterial SSU rRNA". It matches the Rfam family "Bacterial small subunit ribosomal RNA", at positions 934 to 1515 of the family's 1533-position model. The record is from RNAcentral. Lineage: Bacteria; Pseudomonadati; Pseudomonadota; Gammaproteobacteria; Enterobacterales; Yersiniaceae.